UUUCCGUAGGUGAACCUGCGGAAGGAUCAUCACUGAUUAUCCGUGUCCUUAAAUUCACCCUGUUGCACUGUUUUUGAAGGUGCGGAUUGCUCCGCGCCUUUAUUUAUCUUUUCUACGCCACGCGAACGCGAACAUCUGAACGUUUAUAAUGAAGCACAACUUUUAACAACGGAUCUCUUGGUUCUC
This 186-nucleotide unclassified non-coding RNA is filed under the name plant metagenome. RNAcentral's name for it is "partial contains small subunit ribosomal RNA, internal transcribed spacer 1, and 5.8S ribosomal RNA". The record is from RNAcentral.